This 581-nucleotide ribosomal RNA is filed under the name uncultured bacterium. RNAcentral describes it as "bacterial SSU rRNA". It matches the Rfam family "Bacterial small subunit ribosomal RNA", at positions 223 to 821 of the family's 1533-position model. The record is from RNAcentral.
AGAUGGGCUCGCGUCUGAUUAGAUAGUUGGUGAGGUAGCGGCUCACCAAGUCGACGAUCAGUAGCCGGACUGAGAGGUUGAACGGCCACAUUGGGACUGAGACACGGCCCAGACUCCUACGGGAGGCAGCAGUGGGGGAUAUUGGACAAUGGGGGAAACCCUGAUCCAGCGACGCCGCGUGUGGGAAGACGGUCCUCUGGAUUGUAAACCACUGUCCCCAGGGACGAAGAUGACGGUACCUGGGGAGGAAGCUCCGGCUAACUACGUGCCAGCAGCCGCGGUAAUACGUAGGGAGCGAGCGUUGUCCGGAAUUACUGGGUGUAAAGGGAGCGUAGGCGGGACUGCAAGUUGGGUGUCAAAUCUACCGGCUCAACCGGUAGCCGCACUCAAAACUGCAGUUCUUGAGUGAAGUAGAGGCAGGCGGAAUUCCUAGUGUAGCGGUGAAAUGCGUAGAUAUUAGGAGGAACACCAGUGGCGAAGGCGGCCUGCUGGGCUUUUACUGACGCUGAGGCUCGAAAGUGUGGGGAGCAAACAGGAUUAGAUACCCUGGUAGUCCACACCGUANACGAUGAUCACUAGGU